GGAACGUUAAAGACGAUGACGUUGAUAGGUCGGGUGUGUAAGCGCAGCGAUGCGUUGAGCUAACCGAUACUAAUGAACCGUGAGGCUUAACCUU
RNAcentral lists this ribosomal RNA (94 nucleotides) under Enterobacter cloacae. Its description in RNAcentral is "partial 23S ribosomal RNA". It matches the Rfam family "Bacterial large subunit ribosomal RNA", at positions 2832 to 2925 of the family's 2925-position model. Lineage: Bacteria; Pseudomonadati; Pseudomonadota; Gammaproteobacteria; Enterobacterales; Enterobacteriaceae. RNAcentral also lists the same sequence under 6 other names. The record is from RNAcentral.